RNAcentral lists this ribosomal RNA (254 nucleotides) under uncultured bacterium. RNAcentral's name for it is "partial 16S ribosomal RNA". It matches the Rfam family "Bacterial small subunit ribosomal RNA", at positions 524 to 776 of the family's 1533-position model. The record is from RNAcentral.
UACGGGGGGAGCAAGCGUUGUUCGGAUUUACUGGGCGUAAAGGGCGCGUAGGCGGUCGUGACAAGUCACUUGUGAAAUCUCCGGGCUUAACUCGGAACGGUCAAGUGAUACUGUCGGACUAGAGUACAGAAGGGGCAACUGGAAUUCUCGGUGUAGCGGUGAAAUGCGUAGAUAUCGAGAGGAACACCUGCGGCGAAGGCGGGUUGCUGGGCCGCAACUGACGCUGAGGAGCGAAAGCAUGGGGAGCGAACAGG